GCUGACUCUCUUUUCAGACUCAGCCCACUUGCACCCAAGUGAAUUAACAGCCUUGUUGCUCACACAAAGCCUGUUUAGGUGGUCUUCUAUACGGACAUGCUUGACACUUGGUGCCAAAAUCUGGGCCAGGGGGACUCCUUCGUGAGACCGGCCCCCUGUCCUGGCCCUCAUUCCGUGAAGAGAUCCACCUGCGACCUCGGGUCCUCAGACCAGCCCAAGGAACAUCUCACCAAUUUCAAAUCGGAUCUCCUCGGCUUAGUGGCUGAAGACUGAUGCUGCCCGAUCGCCUCAGAAGCCCCUUGGACCAUCACAGAUGCCGAGCUUCGGGUAACUCUUACGGUGGAGGGAUCUGCAAUCAGAACUAUUGAACUUCUCCAUUCAGACCGCCACUCACACCUAUGGGAAAAGGGUGGCCUGCAGGAGCCAAGAAGUCUGGAGCAGCCGAAAAACCACAAAGAAGUGAAACAGCCAGUUCCUGCCUUAACUAAUUAACCCACCUUACGACAUUCCACCAUUAUGACUUGUCCACCAUUAUGACUUGUUCCUGCCCUGCCCCAACUGAUCAAUCAACCCUGUGACAUUCUUCUCCUGGACAAUGAGUCCCAUCAUCUCUCCACCAUGCACCUUGUGACCCCCUCCUCUGCUGAGGAUAACCACCUUUAACUGUAACUUUCCACGCCUACCCAAGCCCUAUAAAGCUGCCCCUCUCCUAUCUCCCUUCACUGACUCUCUUUUCGGACUCAGCCCACUUGCACCCAAGUGAAUUAACAGCCUUGUUGCUCACACAAAGCCUGAUUGGGUGUCUUCUAUACGGACACGCGUGACAGGAACCUCAACCCAAAGGCAGUCUGAUGAGGUGUCUAAGAUAAAAGUAGCGGCACAAAGGCUUUUGUAAACAGAGGCGUUUCAUGUGGUUUUCCUUUCCUUUCCUUAUAUGUGAAAAGGUGACAGAAAAGAAAUCUUCCUAAAAGAGUCAG
RNAcentral lists this long non-coding RNA (977 nucleotides) under Homo sapiens (human). RNAcentral's name for it is "non-protein coding UCA1:24". The record is from RNAcentral. Lineage: Eukaryota; Metazoa; Chordata; Mammalia; Primates; Hominidae.